Molecule: ribosomal RNA, 351 nt
Filed under: Clostridioides difficile
Lineage: Bacteria; Bacillati; Bacillota; Clostridia; Peptostreptococcales; Peptostreptococcaceae
Description: bacterial SSU rRNA
Rfam family: Bacterial small subunit ribosomal RNA
Source: RNAcentral
UUUUAUUUGAGAGUUUGAUCCUGGCUCAGGAUGAACGCUGGCGGCGUGCCUAACACAUGCAAGUUGAGCGAUUUACUUCGGUAAAGAGCGGCGGACGGGUGAGUAACGCGUGGGUAACCUACCCUGUACACACGGAUAACAUACCGAAAGGUAUGCUAAUACGGGAUAAUAUAUUUGAGAGGCAUCUCUUGAAUAUCAAAGGUGAGCCAGUACAGGAUGGACCCGCGUCUGAUUAGCUAGUUGGUAAGGUAACGGCUUACCAAGGCGACGAUCAGUAGCCGACCUGAGAGGGUGAUCGGCCACAUUGGAACUGAGACACGGUCCAAACUCCUACGGGAGGCAGCAGUGGGG